AUUCUUGUGCCUCAGCCUCCCGAGUAGCUGGGAUUACAGCUUGUUACCCAAAAUUCAUAAGCAGCCUGAGAUAAAUAAAUGUGCUGGAUGCCCCAUAGUCAGGGAAGCAGACAAGAUAAAGGAUGGCCAACAGGCAGAUAAUGAGAGAAGAAAUCCAGGGCUCUUCAAACCUGCAUUGAAACCGAAAGAACCUUUUUAGUCCACCAAAAAGAACUGCGUAUUACCACCUUCAUUCAAUGCAAGAGCCAGCUGAGGUGAAGUCGCCAGAGGCCAAGGACAGAAGCCGGGAGUAAAGCAUCACCACACAGCCUUCAAUCACCAACGGUUUUGAAUUGUUUGAUCAGGCCAUUUCUUAUGGCCUUUUCAUCUAUCAUUUUUAUGCCUCUCUGUUUCUUUUUUCAAGAUUUUGUUUUUGUGUAAUGUUGCUGGGUGUUCUGUCCUCGAUUUCCUUGUCACACAAGUGAAGGAAGUGUUCCAUCUGAUAUGAAGCCACAUGUCAGCACCUGUUUUCUGGACUGAUUUGUUCAUCAUUUUCAUUUCUGUUUGCCAACACUGCAGGGUCUUUUCUGUCAA
This 573-nucleotide long non-coding RNA is filed under the name Homo sapiens (human). Its description in RNAcentral is "HSALNT0292999". The record is from RNAcentral. Lineage: Eukaryota; Metazoa; Chordata; Mammalia; Primates; Hominidae.